UACGUAGGGGGCUAGCGUUGUUCGGAAUUACUGGGCGUAAAGAGCGUGUAGGCGGCCAGAAAAGUCCGCUGUGAAAACUCGAGGCUCAACUUCGAGCUGUCGGUGGAAACUUUCUGGCUAGAGUCCGGAAGAGGAGAAUGGAAUUCCUGGUGUAGCGGUGAAAUGCGCAGAUAUCAGGAAGAACACCCGUGGCGAAGGCGGUUCUCUGGGACGGUACUGACGCUGAGACGCGAAAGCGUGGGGAGCGAACAGG
This 253-nucleotide ribosomal RNA is filed under the name uncultured bacterium. RNAcentral's name for it is "partial 16S ribosomal RNA". It matches the Rfam family "Bacterial small subunit ribosomal RNA", at positions 524 to 776 of the family's 1533-position model. The record is from RNAcentral.